Long non-coding RNA from Arabidopsis thaliana (thale cress), 309 nucleotides. RefSeq annotates it as other RNA. NCBI's taxonomy places the organism in Eukaryota, Viridiplantae, Streptophyta, Magnoliopsida, Brassicales, Brassicaceae. The record is from RefSeq. The transcript has a single exon.
CUAUAUGAACAAAUCAAGCGUUGAAAUUGACGACGGAUACCGAAAACAUAAAUACAUGAAUCUAGUAUAUCUCUCUCUCUCAAUAGAUUAUGACAAAAGAAAAAUGACCAUAUAAUAUGUUCAAGUGUUUUUGGUCCCCCAAGAAGAAGAAGACGAAGAUGAAAUAAGAAAGAAGAUGAAAAGAAAUGAGGAUAGGAGAUAGGAACAGUGUCACGAGGAAUGCUUUGGAUCUUCUCGGAACAUAUCUUGUCUAUAUGUCUCCUUGUUUUGUCUCACCAGCACGUGAGAUUACAGUUUCUUCCUCUUCGU